Molecule: ribosomal RNA, 441 nt
Filed under: uncultured Acidovorax sp.
Lineage: Bacteria; Pseudomonadati; Pseudomonadota; Betaproteobacteria; Burkholderiales; Comamonadaceae
Description: bacterial SSU rRNA
Rfam family: Bacterial small subunit ribosomal RNA
Source: RNAcentral
CAUGUGGUUUAAUUCGAUGGUACACGAGGAACCUUACCUGGGCUUGACAUGCACAGGAAUACGGCAGAGAUGUCGUAGUCCGCAAGGGAUCUGUGAACAGGUGCUGCAUGGCUGUCGUCAGCUCGUGUCGUGAGAUGUUGGGUUAAGUCCCGCAACGAGCGCAACCCUUGUCAUUAGUUGCUACAUUCAGUUGGGCACUCUAAUGAGACUGCCGGUGACAAACCGGAGGAAGGUGGGAUGACGUCAAGUCCUCAUGGCCCUUAUAGGUGGGGCUACACACGUCAUACAAUGGAUGGUACAAAGGGUCGCCAACCCGCGAGGGGGAGCCAAUCCCAUAAAGCCAUUCGUAGUCCGGAUCGCAGUCUGCAACUCGACUGCGUGAAGUCGGAAUCGCUAGUAAUCGUGGAUCAGAAUGUCACGGUGAAUACGUUCCCGGGUCUU